AUUGAACGCUGGCGGCAUGCCUUACACAUGCAAGUCGAACGGUAACGGGCCUUCGGGUGCCGACGAGUGGCGAACGGGUGAGUAAUACAUCGGAACGUGCCCGAUCGUGGGGGAUAACGAGGCGAAAGCUUUGCUAAUACCGCAUACGAUCUACGGAUGAAAGCAGGGGACCGCAAGGCCUUGCGCGGACGGAGCGGCCGAUGGCGGAUUAGGUAGUUGGUGGGAUAAAAGCUUACCAAGCCGACGAUCUGUAGCUGGUCUGAGAGGAUGAUCAGCCACACUGGGACUGAGACACGGCCCAGACUCCUACGGGAGGCAGCAGUGGGGAAUGUUGGACAAUGGGCGCAAGCCUGAUCCAGCCAUGCCGCGUGCAGGAUGAAGGCCUUCGGGUUGUAAACUGCUUUUGUACGGAACGAAAAGCCUUCUUUUAAUACAGGAGGGUCAUGACGGUACCGUAAGAAUAAGCACCGGCUAACUACGUG
Molecule: ribosomal RNA, 482 nt
Filed under: uncultured bacterium
Lineage: Bacteria
Description: partial 16S ribosomal RNA
Rfam family: Bacterial small subunit ribosomal RNA
Source: RNAcentral